RNAcentral lists this transfer RNA (85 nucleotides) under Nephroselmis astigmatica. Its description in RNAcentral is "tRNA-Ser". It matches the Rfam family "tRNA". Rfam says of the family: Transfer RNA (tRNA) molecules are approximately 80 nucleotides in length. Their secondary structure includes four short double-helical elements and three loops (D, anti-codon, and T loops). Further hydrogen bonds mediate the characteristic L-shaped molecular structure. tRNAs have two regions of fundamental functional importance: the anti-codon, which is responsible for specific mRNA codon recognition, and the 3' end, to which the tRNAs corresponding amino acid is attached (by aminoacyl-tRNA synthetases). tRNAs cope with the degeneracy of the genetic code in two manners: having more than one tRNA (with a specific anti-codon) for a particular amino acid; and 'wobble' base-pairing, i.e. permitting non-standard base-pairing at the 3rd anti-codon position. Lineage: Eukaryota; Viridiplantae; Chlorophyta; Nephroselmidophyceae; Nephroselmidales; Nephroselmidaceae. The record is from RNAcentral.
GGAGAAAUAGCAGAGUGGAUAAUUGCGAUGGUUUCGAAAACCGUUUUAGUGAAAACUAACGGGGGUUCGAAUCCCCCUUUCUUCG